UAGUGAUGUGGAAGAUCGAAUAUCGCCGAUCCAUCGGUCGGCUGAAAAGGGAAGUUCGGUGCAAAUCCGACGCCGUCCCGCCACUGUGAUGGGGAUCGCUGUUCAUCGGAACGGGAGCGAUCCCCAUCAGCCGGGAGACCUGUCUGUUCCAGGCUGCCACA
This is a non-coding RNA of Desmospora sp. 8437, 161 nucleotides long. The record is from Rfam. Lineage: Bacteria; Bacillati; Bacillota; Bacilli; Caryophanales; Thermoactinomycetaceae.